This 117-nucleotide ribosomal RNA is filed under the name Candidatus Amesbacteria bacterium RIFOXYB1_FULL_44_23. Lineage: Bacteria; Candidatus Amesiibacteriota. The record is from RNAcentral.
CUCGGUUCUUUGUGCGGCGUGGAACUACUUCUUCCCAUUCCGAACAGAACCGUAAAACGCGCCAGCGCCGACAAUAGCUGGGCCGCGAGGCUCCGUGAAGAUAGGUCAGAGCCGAGA